GCUUAACACAUGCAAGUCGAGCGAGGUCCACUCGGUGGCAACACCGUGUGGUUCCUAGCGGCGAACGGGUGAGUAACACGUGGGCAACCUGCCCCUGACAUCGGGAUAACAGUGGGAAACCGCUGCUAAUACCGAAUAUGAGUUCCCACCGCAUGGCGGGAGCUGGAAAGGACCUCCGGUCAGGGAUGGGCCCGCGGCCUAUCAGCUAGUUGGUGGGGUGACGGCCCACCAAGGCGA
Molecule: ribosomal RNA, 237 nt
Filed under: uncultured Actinomycetes bacterium
Lineage: Bacteria; Bacillati; Actinomycetota; Actinomycetes
Description: uncultured actinobacterium partial 16S ribosomal RNA
Rfam family: Bacterial small subunit ribosomal RNA
Source: RNAcentral